GCAGCUGUUAAAGGGCGGAGCUUGAAAAAGUUUCAACAGUGCGCUGCCCGAAGCCCCGCCAUUCCUGACACGUGGUUUUGGUAACUCCCCCUCUAGUGCCCUAGUGAGCACUGCGUGCCUCAAGACGAGACAAUUCAACACAGCAGAAAUUGAACUCAGAAACCACUCAUCCAUUACUCUGACUCCGAUCAUUCCAAAACAUUACAUCAUUGCACAGAGAGGGAACAUCGCUACUAUGGCCAGAGCGGCUGCCAAGGCGUCUGCUCAGGACUGUACACUGACUUCUUUGUGAUGUCCACAAUGAGUAUCCAAGGCGACCCCAGAGAGGACGGCCCAUAAGGGAACGUUUCUUGUCUUCCAUGAUACACAUGGUAAUGCUGAACAUUCUUUCUCUGACUGUACUGUUGCUGUGUCGAGUCACACUGACUGGACCGCUGUCGUUUGAAGAUGCCCCUCAUACCGUAUUGUAUUUGCUGAAUAUUGUCCAUUGAUCUCUCAGAUUGGGGCCCUUGUUUUGCGACCCAGGAACUUCCCUACAGGCCGUAUAGUGCAUCCAGAAGCCAUGUUUGAGGUCUGCUCGGCUUGUUUAUGUACGGUUACACCCAGAGCUGAAUUUAACCCCGGCUUCCAUCUGUUGCAGCACCCAGGGCCCUGCACGGAGAUGAGACCGGUUUGGGUCGGUCUGUGCCGCUUGCUUACUACUAAGCACGACUUGCUCCUAUGUGUUAUUAUCGUCAGAGGCGUCUCCUCUGUGGCAAUAUUCUUUUUUAGCCAGUUUUUUUUUUUUUUUUUUUUAACCCUAUUUUCAUUGACCUUAAGGUUCAUUUAAGGUACUUUUUAGCUGGAUUUCAUGUCGAUUUUAUGGUAAAUAUGAAAUUAUUUAAAAGAAGACGAAAAACAAAUUUGCUCCUUUUCAUAGCUCAAUAGUCACUUAUACAAAGUACAUGUUAAAUAGAUAUGUUUUUAGCUGAGUCUUGAAUGUAGCCACAGAUGAGAUAUUAUGAAGUGUAAGGGGUAGUGAAUUCCAUAAUUUAGGAGCAUUAACACUAAAUGACCUUCCACCAAAUGACCAAGAAAUAGAGCAUUGCAAUAAUCCAGACGUGAUGUGAUCAAUGUAUACAUUUCCGCAUCAGCCAAAGUGAGAGAAGAUCAAAGACGUGCAAUAUUACGAAGAUGGAAAAAAGAGUUUUUAACAAGAGAAGAAAUAUGAGAGCCAAGAGUUGAUUAAGACUCCAAGGUUACGAAUAGAUGAAUAAGGCUUAACAUGAACUACAUUAAUAUCAAAGGACAGGUCCAUCCUUUUGACUGAGGCAGCAGAGCCAAUCACUAAUAUCUCAGUUUUUAUUAUUCAAUUUGAGGGAAUUCAGGGACAUACAAUGCUUGACGUCCCUGACAUGAGCGAGUCCCUGACAUGAUGCGAAGCUGGUGGUAAGAUAGAUUUUAAUGUCAUCAGCAUAGCAAUGGAAUUGAAGUUCAUGCCUUUGUAGGAUGUCACCAAGUGGAUAUAUAUAUAUAUAUAUAUAUAUAUAUAUAUAUAUACAGAAUAUAUAUGAUAAACAAUAGUGGGCCAAGAACUGAACCUUGAGGAACACCCUUUGUAAGUGAAGCAGUGGCUGAUCUAUUGUAUGUUGAUAUAGUACUUUCUGUCGUUGAUGUAAGAAAUGAACCAGGAACGAAUCAAGGAUGCCAAUAUCUGAAAACAGAGAGAUCAGUAUUUUAUAGCAGACUGUGUCAAAUAUGCCGCGUAGAUAAGGAAGCAUCAAGAUGUUUAUUAACCCAUGAAACGUAAAUACUAAAAAAGGAAAUAUUUAACAAAAAAUAAUAAAAAAGAGGAACGCAUUAUAAAGCAAUUUUCUAUCAGUAUUUUAUUGAAUUUUGUUUAUAGCCAGAUGUCAGGUCAAAUUUAUGCUUAAUAUACAAUUAUUGAAAUACUAAAUAAGAAAAAAAUUAACAAAGAAUCUUAAAAAGGAGGAAAACACAUUGUUAAAAAA
Non-coding RNA from Pimephales promelas (fathead minnow), 1991 nucleotides. The record is from RefSeq and is a predicted model, not a curated record. Lineage: Eukaryota; Metazoa; Chordata; Actinopteri; Cypriniformes; Leuciscidae.